UACGGGGGGGGCAAGCGUUGUUCGGAAUUACUGGGCGUAAAGGGCGCGUAGGCGGCCUUCUAAGUCGGACGUGAAAUCCCUCGGCUUAACCGAGGAACUGCGUCCGAUACUGAAAGGCUUGAAUCCGGGAGAGGGAUGUGGAAUUCCAGGUGUAGAGGUGAAAUGCGUAGAUAUCUGGAGGAACACCGGUGGCGAAGGCGGCAUCCUGGACCGGCAUUGACGCUGAGGCGCGAAAGCUAGGGGAGCAAACGGG
RNAcentral lists this ribosomal RNA (253 nucleotides) under uncultured bacterium. RNAcentral's name for it is "partial 16S ribosomal RNA". It matches the Rfam family "Bacterial small subunit ribosomal RNA", at positions 524 to 776 of the family's 1533-position model. The record is from RNAcentral.